This 519-nucleotide ribosomal RNA is filed under the name uncultured bacterium. Its description in RNAcentral is "bacterial SSU rRNA". It matches the Rfam family "Bacterial small subunit ribosomal RNA", at positions 35 to 518 of the family's 1533-position model. The record is from RNAcentral.
ACGAACGGCUGGCGGCGUGCCUAAUACAUGCAAGGUCGAACGGUCUUUCUAUGGAAGCUUGCUUCCACUGAGAAGAUAGUGGCGAACGGGUGAGUAACACGUGGGUAACCUGCCCAUAAGAGGGGGGAUAACAUCCGGAAACGGGUGCUAAUACCGCAUAGUUUUCUUGAUCGCAUGAUCGGGAAAGGAAAGACGGCCUUUGUGCUGUCGCUUAUGGAUGGACCCGCGGCGUAUUAGUUAGUUGGUGAGGUAACGGCUCACCAAGACGAUGAUACGUAGCCGACCUGAGAGGGUGAUCGGCCACAUUGGGACUGAGACACGGCCCAAACUCCUACGGGAGGCAGCAGUAGGGAAUCUUCCGCAAUGGACGAAAGUCUGACGGAGCAACGCCGCGUGAGUGAAGAAAGGUUUUCGGAUCGUAAAACUCUGUUGUCAGAGAAGAACAAGUUGGAGAGUAACUGCUCCAGCCUUGACGGUAUCUGACCAGAAAGCCACGGCUAACUACGUGCCAGCCGCGGC